GAUGAACGCUGGCGGCGUGCCUAAUACAUGCAAGUCGAGCGAACAGACGAGGAGCUUGCUCCUCUGACGUUAGCGGCGGACGGGUGAGUAACACGUGGAUAACCUACCUAUAAGACUGGGAUAACUUCGGGAAACCGGAGCUAAUACCGGAUAAUAUAUUGAACCGCAUGGUUCAAUAGUGAAAGACGGUUUUGCUGUCACUUAUUGAUGGAUCCGCGCCGCAUUAGCUAGUUGGUAAGGUAACGGCUUACCAAGGCAACGAUGCGUAGCCGACCUGAGAGGGUGAUCGGCCACACUGGAACUGAGACACGGUCCAGACUCCUACGGGAGGCAGCAGUAGGGAAUCUUCCGCAAUGGGCGAAAGCUUGACGGAGCAACGCCGCGUGAGUGAUGAAGGUCUUCGGAUCGUAAAACUCUGUUAUUAGGGAAGAACAAAUGUGUAAGUAACUAUGCACGUCUUGACGGUACCUAAUCAGAAAGCCACGGCUAACUACGUG
RNAcentral lists this ribosomal RNA (497 nucleotides) under uncultured bacterium. RNAcentral's name for it is "partial 16S ribosomal RNA". It matches the Rfam family "Bacterial small subunit ribosomal RNA", at positions 28 to 507 of the family's 1533-position model. The record is from RNAcentral.